Nomia melanderi (Alkali bee) is the source of this 2915-nucleotide non-coding RNA. NCBI's taxonomy places the organism in Eukaryota, Metazoa, Arthropoda, Insecta, Hymenoptera, Halictidae. The record is from RefSeq and is a predicted model, not a curated record.
CAUUUUCUUUGCUAUAUUCAAAGAAGUAUCUUUAAUGUUAUAUUAUUUGUGAACAUCUUCUCAUUCAAUUAUCAAAAAUGUUAGAUAUCAAUGUUAUAUUGUAUCAGAAAAAAAAUUUAAAUAAAUAUUAUAAUUCUGCAUGAUAACUUUUAUUUUUCAAGGAAUCACAAGGAUUAUCUGAUUAACAGCUUUACAAUAACAGAAGUACAAAAUAAAACAUUAUUUUCUAGAUAUAGCAAUUUCAUUCCUAAGUGUAGUCCAUACAUAUCCGGUACCUCUUUCUGUGAGUGGUGGUGGAUAUGGUGUAUUUUUUAGUUUAUAGUAAUCUGAUGGUGCAUGCAUUACAAAUUCCAUGCACUCCAGUUUACGUGGGAGAUCUUCUUCUGGACCUAUAAUGUACGUUUCAGGACUAAACCCUUCAUCCGGUGGUGGGCUAGAAACAAAAUACAUACAUAUUAUCAUUAUUUUCUUUCUUCUUAAGAGUAAUGAAUUAAUUGAAAUAAAGAUAUGUAUAUAUUAUACCUUGCUGUGGUAGGCAAGAGCCAAGUAACAGCAGCACUUUUUUCACAGUACUGAUCAGUGAGCAAGCCACGAAUUUGGGCAUAAUAAAUUCCUCCAUCGAUAUCUUGCAUAGAGACUAUAUCACCCACUUGAAAAUAAGUGCCUUUAUAGAACACAUAAUUACUUGUAACCGGAGUUGCUGUGGCUGUUGGUGCUUUAACUGGCUAAAGGAAAAAAGAAAUAAAAUAAAGAAACAAGGUACUACUUUGUGCGGUCCAGCAGACUUUGAGUUACAGUAUCUCGUGAUCCUUGUACUUCUCCUGGUAGGCCUCAACGAACCUCCCUUGUCCUCAUCCUCGGUUUUCGCAGUUGAAUUCGCUUCGGAAUUUCUCUCCUCCUCGAGACAAGCAUUGCAAAGGUUACCGGCUUCAGUUGAGUGCCAAAGCGGGGUCUCUCGAGUCCCACACUUAACACAUUCAGGUUUGCUGCCGAGAGGCAUUGAGUUCUAACUAAUUCGAUCUCAUUAAUUAUUCAUUCACCGUCAGUCAACCAACGAAUGUUUCUUUCAAUCUGGACCGCGAUCUUUUGGUCGAUUGAGUUUCACUCAAUCUCAUUUUGACUCGAAACUUAAUUAUAUGAAAUAAAAGUAAAAGUUAACAAGUUUCAUGUACGUACGUGCAUUUCAUAAAGAAUAAAGGAUUACUGAAACGUUUAAUUAGAACGCGUUUGUGAACAUUUUCCACGUUUGUUGUGUACAACAGGCGAUUGUAUACAAGUUAGUUACACAGUCGAACAGUGCGUUCAAAGUAUAAAAUCCCUAGCAUUCAAACGUGAAGCAAGUCACAUGAAUACUGAAUAGUUUUAGAUAUUGUGCGGUGAAUUAAAAUGAAUUCGUAUUUCAGUAUUAUAAUAUUUAUUUCUGGUGACAAGAAUAAUAACAUGUGGUAUGCGAAAACAAUUUAUUUUUAUUAAAAUCUGAUUGGUCUUUCACACAGUGACAUAAUAGUGUACUAAAUUUCAUUAGUUUCAAUUUGAAUCUUCACAUAUAAAUGUACAUUUUUAUAUUGCUAUUUAUUUACUGUAUAAAGUGGAUGAAAAUACGACAUUGCAUAAAACUGUAGUCGAAUUGUUUUAAAAUUUAAAAAACACACAUUUGUUUAGGUACAGCUACAGAGUGAUGAUUCAUGAUAGUGUGUAAAUAGAUUUUUUAUCAACCUUUUCUUUUUAUUGACUUGUUUCUAAUCGUUUAAUCUCUUUUGAAAUCUCAGCCUUCCUCGCUAACUUAUCAAGUAUUUCCUUCUCUGGAUUUUUCAAUAAUCCACCCUUGAUCUUUUUUUCUAAAGUCUCAAUUUCUCGAAUUUUCUUUUUUAAAUUUUUUAAUCUUUUUAGUGGAUCUGGUGUAGCAGUUUCAGACUGGUCAGUCACAUUUGGUUUUUCUGUUGAGAUUUGAUUAUUUGGUAUUGGAUUCGCAUUAGAUUCUGGUUUGUUAUUCUGUUGCAAGGCUUCUUUCUUUUGUUCUGGUUGUGAAAUUAUAGUUUUAGCCAAUUCUUCUGUUAUAUGUUCCAUUGUUUUAUUUUUAUUUUUUUUCUUCUUCUUUUUGACUUCUGAUUUCACUGGUGCACCAGGAACGGUUUUAGCCUUGGCUGCCAGCAGCAUUUCCUUUUUAGCUUUAUGCUCAGCUAUGAAUUCUGGACUUGCACCUACCGGAUAUAAGGGUUUAUUUUUUAUUUGUUUCCCUUUGCUUUCAUAUCUGAAAAGACAAUGAUGAGGAUGCUGAAUUCUAAACAAACAAUGAUAAUAUAGUUUUUCUGACAAAUCAUCACAUACAAUGGAACUUCUUCUUGUGGAAUAUAUCCAUCUUUUACACGCCGUGGCUUGCGCCACGUACCAUCUGGACGUUGACUAGCAGGGAUGAAUGUUCCACCUAUGAGAAUGUUUGCAAUAAGAAAGAAUAAAUUUUAUGAAUCAACAUGGAUCCAAGAUAUCUGUACCUAACAGUGGUAAAAUUGCAUGGGGAAAUUAUUUUGUCGGUCGUUGAUUAUCCAAAAACAUCGGUAAAAAGAUGGCAGCAAAUUGGACUCGACGUUUUCUAUAUCUUGUAAAAGAACUAGCCAAUAAUAAGAAUUCACCGAUGUUGCUUUUCAAAUUGGAAAAACGUUAAGUCUUCGAAGAUAUUACGCAACAGCUUAACUCGCUAACUCAGAGGAAGACGAAUUAAUUCAUCGCUUAAUUGAAGAAUCGUGAAUUCAAUUUCGUCGUUACAUUUACCCAUCUGCGUAUUUACGCGAGAAGUUUUUGUAAAGAAUCGAAAACUCUAUACGUAUAAGUAUGCGUGCGUGCACAUGUGUAUGAGCAAAGUGGCGAGGAACAGAGGGUAACAGCAGCAUAAUGUAUAGGUGAGACGGGUACGCGUU